This 465-nucleotide ribosomal RNA is filed under the name uncultured bacterium. RNAcentral's name for it is "partial 16S ribosomal RNA". It matches the Rfam family "Bacterial small subunit ribosomal RNA", at positions 28 to 507 of the family's 1533-position model. The record is from RNAcentral.
GACGAACGCUGGCGGCGUGCUUAACACAUGCAAGUCGAACGGAAAGGCCCCUUUGGGGCUACUCGGGUGGCGACCGGGUGCGUAACACGUGCGUAACCUGCCCUUGCCUUCGGGAUAGCUUCAGGAAACUGGGGCUAAUACCGGAAAGGAAUCCUAGCUGCAUGGGGAGGGUUGGAAAGCUUCGGCGGGUUUGGGUGGACUCACUGCUUAUCGGCUUGCUGGGGGGGUAGUGGCUUACCAAGGCUUGUACGGGUAGCCAGCCUGGGGGGGCGACCGGCCACCGUGGGACUGAGAGACGGCCCAGACUGCUACGGGUGGCAGAAGGGGGGAAGAUUGAACGAGCGGCGGAGGCCUGAUGCAGCAACGCCGCGGGCGGGAUGACGGCGUUAGGGUUGGAGACCGCUUUCAGCAGGGGCGAAGCAUGUGGUGACGGUACCUGCAGAAGAAGCACCGGCUAACUACGUG